CCCACCGCCGCGGCGCUUGGCCUGGCAGCGGCCGGGCGGUGGCGCAGGAAAGCGGCAAGGCAGCACUGCACAAUUGUUCUGGUGGCACUGCUGGCUGGGAGACCGGCUGGGGCCGCCAGAGCUGGGUGCUGCUGGAGCGAGAGGUGCCAGCGGAGGGUCGCAGCUCCAGGAGGACUCUCGAAAGGAGCCAUGGAGUACUAUCUUGCUGCUGGCGCCCGAAAUAUAGAUGGAGUGCUGAGCGCAAAGGAGAAUAGGGGUGAGCUGUGCAAGAAGGCUAUUGAGAUGGUGGCCUGAAUGCCCAUGAGCGUCUCUGUCUUUCUAGCUUGAGUGCAGAAGACAGCAGGUGUAGUAAGAUGUACUGAGCUGCUGGACAUCCCGCUCGGGGUCAAAAUCCCUUUGUUGCCUGGCUCCCACCCUGUCUUCUGCCAGACCAAGCUGGGGGAAAAGGUGGUUUGCACUCUGUGGGAGUUCAACGAAUACAGGCAGUAUCUGAUGACACUCAAAACAGAGGCUGACAAAAUGUGCCAGCGAGAACAAGUUUCUUGCCAUGACUGUGCAGAGGAUGGAGAAGCUUGAGGCCCUUGAAGAAGAGAAACGCCUCCUCCAGCAGGCUGAGCGAGACCAGAAGUCUUUACGUGAAGAGCUGCAUAGUGAAAUCCGGACUACGCUGAUAGGGACUACAAGGACAGAAGCCCAGGAGCUGGAAGAGGUGGCUGAGAGCAUGCUGGAGGAAGUGCUGGAGAGGGUGAAAGAGCUGGAUUGGCUAGUCCAUGUUUUAAGGAGGGCUCCACUGGCAAUCAGUGGAAGGUUGCUUGCUAGUGCUAGAAGGGCAGAGCCUUCUGAGACGACAUCUCCAGAUCUCCAGGAGGAAAUUGGACUGGUGGCUAGAGAGAUUGUAGCAACCGUUACUGAUGCCUUAGGGAAGCAUUUGGUAUGCAGUGCAUCAGAUGCCUGUGAGCCCAGGCUGUCGGCCGGGCAGAGGGAGCCGUACGUAGCCGCACGAGCCAGGUGAGCUGGCAAACUGGAAGAAAGCAGGCUGAGGGCAGCUGAAUUACCAGGCUAUAACAGCAACUUCUCUGGCGUCUCUUGACAAAAUCGCCAAAGAUGCUGUUG
Dromaius novaehollandiae (emu) is the source of this 1113-nucleotide long non-coding RNA. RefSeq lists it as uncharacterized. The record is from RefSeq and is a predicted model, not a curated record. NCBI's taxonomy places the organism in Eukaryota, Metazoa, Chordata, Aves, Casuariiformes, Dromaiidae. The transcript is spliced from 5 exons.